RNAcentral lists this long non-coding RNA (769 nucleotides) under Malus domestica (apple). Its description in RNAcentral is "long non-coding RNA (MDOM_LNC019848)". Lineage: Eukaryota; Viridiplantae; Streptophyta; Magnoliopsida; Rosales; Rosaceae. The record is from RNAcentral.
CCUUAGCUUUUUCCAAUAGAGAUAAUGGAAAAUCUUUCAUCUUCAAUAUGCUUCCAUCGACCUUAAUUGGGGUCAUGCUUGAACAAACCAUUUCAAAUUCUUUUAAAUGCUUGUUUGGAUCCUCCAUAGAUAGCCUAUGGUACUUGGGAAUUGAUACGAGUUUGAAAUUGGUACUUGGAAACAAACCACUUCAAUCUUAAGUGUUAUGUGUUUCAAUCUGUGGAGUUUGAAAUUGGUAUAAGCAUAUGGAAUCCCUGGUUCUCACUUCUAAGUAGUAGCAUUCCGUUCAUGAGAUCAUAUAUAUACAUGCAUUUAUAAUUCCAGAAAUUACCUUCUUUGUUUAAAAGCAUAUGUGAGUACUAGUCCAUAUGUUUACAUUAAUCUUCUCACAUAUACCUAGUAUAGGGAGUGUAGUCAGAAAAUCUGUGUGAAAAUAGAGUGUAUAUCCAGUAAGGAAUUGAGGGAAUUCUCUAAGGCAUGUUACUUCAUUCAAAAUGUUGUUUUAAUUGAUUAAAUGCGAACUAGUAAAUGGUGACUAUGAUUAAGGGUGCUUGAUGCGAAAAUUAACUUAACACACAAAUUAAACCCUCUUGUUGUCAAAUUGUAGUAUAAAUGCAAGUAGGGAUCGUUCUGGACCGGAGAUUAGGAGGGAUUGCUAAUCUAAACUAAACUGACUUACAAAAAGAAACUUAAAAACACUUAACUAGACUCUAUAGACUCAAAACACUUAAAAACACAAAUUAAAACAGAUUCUAACUAAUUAGAGACA